GGCCCCGUAGCUCAGUUGGAUAGAGCACCAGAUUCCUAAUCUGGGGGCCACAGGUUCGAAUCCUGUCGGGGUCACCA
Molecule: transfer RNA, 77 nt
Filed under: Alphaproteobacteria bacterium
Lineage: Bacteria; Pseudomonadati; Pseudomonadota; Alphaproteobacteria
Description: tRNA-Arg
Rfam family: tRNA
About the family: Transfer RNA (tRNA) molecules are approximately 80 nucleotides in length.
Source: RNAcentral